Small nucleolar RNA from Xyrauchen texanus (razorback sucker), 70 nucleotides. Lineage: Eukaryota; Metazoa; Chordata; Actinopteri; Cypriniformes; Catostomidae. The record is from RefSeq and is a predicted model, not a curated record.
UUUUGAAAUGAUGAUUUGACAUACCGCCCCAGUCUGAUUUUCAUGACUGAUUGGUAACCCUCUGAUAACU